CAAUAUCAUGAAUAACAAUAUCUGAGCUAUCAAAUUGAUUCAUCGUCGAGAAUUGAAUAGUAUAACAUAGGAAGAUCUUUUAUCCAUACCGACUCAAAAAUUUUAUUCCUGAUCCACUCAAGAAUUCCUUUAUUUAUCCACUCUUUUUUUCUAUAACCUAUUGCCUUCCUUGUACAAUUAUCAGAUAAAGUAUCACCUGACCGCUUUUCCACUUCCAUUGAUUACAAACCCAAACAAACAAUAGAAGUGAAAUGGAAA
This 258-nucleotide long non-coding RNA is filed under the name Vitis vinifera (wine grape). RNAcentral describes it as "long non-coding RNA (VVIN_LNC004189)". The record is from RNAcentral. Lineage: Eukaryota; Viridiplantae; Streptophyta; Magnoliopsida; Vitales; Vitaceae.